GAUGAACGCUGGCGGCGUGCCUAAUACAUGCAAGUCGAGCGAACAGACGAGGAGCUUGCUCCUCUGACGUUAGCGGCGGACGGGUGAGUAACACGUGGAUAACCUACCUAUAAGACUGGGUUAACUUCGGGAAACCGGAGCUAAUACCGGAUAAUAUAUUGAACCGCAUGGUUCAAUAUUGAAAGACGGUUUUGCUGUCACUUAUAGAUGGAUCCGCGCCGCAUUAGCUAGUUGGUAAGGUAACGGCUUACCAAGGCGACGAUGCGUAGCCGACCUGAGAGGGUGAUCGGCCACACUGGAACUGAGACACGGUCCAGACUCCUACGGGAGGCAGCAGUAGGGAAUCUUCCGCAAUGGGCGAAAGCCUGACGGAGCAACGCCGCGUGAGUGAUGAAGGUCUUCGGAUCGUAAAACUCUGUUAUUAGGGAAGAACAAAUGUGUAAGUAACUAUGCACGUCUUGACGGUACCUAAUCAGAAAGCCACGGCUAACUACGUG
Molecule: ribosomal RNA, 497 nt
Filed under: uncultured bacterium
Lineage: Bacteria
Description: partial 16S ribosomal RNA
Rfam family: Bacterial small subunit ribosomal RNA
Source: RNAcentral